RNAcentral lists this unclassified non-coding RNA (129 nucleotides) under Syntrophobacter fumaroxidans MPOB. RNAcentral's name for it is "yybP-ykoY element as predicted by Rfam". The record is from RNAcentral. Lineage: Bacteria; Pseudomonadati; Thermodesulfobacteriota; Syntrophobacteria; Syntrophobacterales; Syntrophobacteraceae.
UGAAAUCGUAAAGGGGAGUAGCAACCGGCCGCCCGUCGGCCGGCCCGCAUUCCGUCACGACGGUGGCAGUCCCACCCGGGAGCGGAUCCAGGCAACACCUCUUGGAAUUGCAAGACCUUUACUCACAGC